This 599-nucleotide ribosomal RNA is filed under the name uncultured bacterium. RNAcentral describes it as "bacterial SSU rRNA". It matches the Rfam family "Bacterial small subunit ribosomal RNA", at positions 202 to 802 of the family's 1533-position model. The record is from RNAcentral.
UAAAGAAUUUCGGUAUGGGAUGGGGAUGCGUUCCAUUAGUUAGUUGGCGGGGUAACGGCCCACCAAGACAACGAUGGAUAGGGGUUCUGAGAGGAAGGUCCCCCACAUUGGAACUGAGACACGGUCCAAACUCCUACGGGAGGCAGCAGUGAGGAAUAUUGGUCAAUGGACGAGAGUCUGAACCAGCCAAGUAGCGUGAAGGAUGACUGCCCUAUGGGUUGUAAACUUCUUUUAUAUGGGAAUAAAAUGUUCCACGUGUGGGAUUUUGUAUGUACCAUAUGAAUAAGGAUCGGCUAACUCCGUGCCAGCAGCCGCGGUAAUACGGAGGAUUCGAGCGUUAUCCGGAUUUAUUGGGUUUAAAGGGAGCGUAGGUGGAUUGUUAAGUCAGUUGUGAAAGUUUGCGGCUCAACCGUAAAAUUGCAGUUGAAACUGGCAGUCUUGAGUACAGUAGAGGUGGGCGGAAUUCGUGGUGUAGCGGUGAAAUGCUUAGAUAUCACGAAGAACUCCGAUUGCGAAGGCAGCUCACUGGACUGCAACUGACACUGAGGCUCGAAAGUGUGGGUAUCAAACAGGAUUAGAUACCCUGGUAGUCCACACAG